GCCGGAAUAGCUCAGUUGGUAGAGCAGAGGACUG
This 34-nucleotide transfer RNA is filed under the name Leucobryum juniperoideum. RNAcentral describes it as "partial tRNA-Phe". The record is from RNAcentral. Lineage: Eukaryota; Viridiplantae; Streptophyta; Bryopsida; Dicranales; Leucobryaceae. RNAcentral also lists the same sequence under 12 other names.